RNAcentral lists this ribosomal RNA (254 nucleotides) under uncultured bacterium. Its description in RNAcentral is "partial 16S ribosomal RNA". It matches the Rfam family "Bacterial small subunit ribosomal RNA", at positions 524 to 776 of the family's 1533-position model. The record is from RNAcentral.
UACAGAGGGUGCAAGCGUUAAUCGGAAUUACUGGGCGUAAAGGGCGCGUAGGCGGUCAGCACAAGUCAGUUGUGAAAUCUCCGGGCUUAACUCGGAAAGGUCAACUGAUACUGUGCGACUAGAGUGCAGAAGGGGCAACUGGAAUUCUCGGUGUAGCGGUGAAAUGCGUAGAUAUCGAGAGGAACACCUGCGGCGAAGGCGGGUUGCUGGGCUGACACUGACGCUGAUGCGCGAAAGCCAGGGGAGCGAACGGG